AACGAACGCUGGCGGCAGGCCUAACACAUGCAAGUCGAGCGAGCAUUUCGGUGCUAGCGGCGGACGGGUGAGUAACGCGUGGGAACGUGCCCUUUUCUGCGGAAUAGUCCUGGGAAACUGGGGGUAAUACCGCAUACGCCCUUUUGGGGAAAGAUUUAUCGGAGAAGGAUCGGCCCGCGUUGGAUUAGGUAGUUGGUGGGGUAAUGGCCCACCAAGCCGACGAUCCAUAGCUGGUUUGAGAGGAUGAUCAGCCACACUGGGACUGAGACACGGCCCAGACUCCUACGGGAGGCAGCAGUGGGGAAUCUUAGACAAUGGGGGCAACCCUGAUCUAGCCAUGCCGCGUGAGUGAUGAAGGCCUUAGGGUUGUAAAGCUCUUUCAGCUGGGAAGAUAAUGACGGUACCAGCAGAAGAAGCCCCGGCUAACUCCGUG
This 433-nucleotide ribosomal RNA is filed under the name uncultured bacterium. RNAcentral's name for it is "partial 16S ribosomal RNA". It matches the Rfam family "Bacterial small subunit ribosomal RNA", at positions 29 to 507 of the family's 1533-position model. The record is from RNAcentral.